ACAAUCUCCCUCUCACCCUCUGGUCCGUUCCUUCACUCUGCUCUCAAUUCUAUCAUCUCAUCAGGUGCAGAUCAAAGCUCGGACAAAACCAUGGCUGAAAAGGUAUGUGCAUGGAUGGAUGGAUGUGGGGAUUUUGAUAUAUUUCCUUCUUCUUCUUUUCUUGGUUUCGAUUUAUCUUUUAUUUAGCCCAUUCAUGUGGGUUUUUCUUCUUUUUACGUGGUGUGGUCAUUGUUUUUGGCCCUAUGGACCUCAUCUUCUUUUUAAUUUUCUUUACUGAUCAAUAUCCUUCCAUGUCAGAAAGUGUUCCGGUCCUUUCAAUAUUCUUCCUGGCUUAGAAAUUAUGUCCUUGUGUUUAAUUAUGUGCUCAUAUUGCAGAAAGUCACAAUAAUGGUGAUCAAGGUUGACCUUGAAUGUGAGAAAUGCCACAAGAAAAUCAAGAAAGUACUGUGUAGGAUCCCUCGUGAGUGCCUCUUUCUCCAUUUACUAUAACUUAGUUUGAGCUGUUUUAAGAUGAAAGGAAAGUGGCUAAGUUGUUUUUGUGGAUUGUGAACAAGAGAAAUUCAGAGCCAGAUAUAUGACACGAAGGCAGGCACAGUGACCAUCACUGUGGUAUGUUGCAGUCCUGAAAAGAUCAAGGAAAAGAUAAUCUGUAAGGGAGGUGAAGCUGUCAAGAGCAUUGAGAUCAAGGUUCCAGAGAAACCCAAAGCAGCACCAGAGAAACCCAAACAACCGGAGAAGCCGAAAGAACCUGAGAAGCCUAAGCAACCAGAGAAGCCGAAAGAACCGGAGAAGCCGAAAGAACCGGAGAAGCCGAAAGAACCUGAGAAGCCCAAGCAACCAGAGAAGCCGAAAGAACCGGAGAAACCCAAAGAACCAGAGAAGGCCAAAGAACCGGAGAAGCCUAAAGCGCUUCUUGUUGAACAACCAAAACCCAAAGAACCGGCCCCAAACCCAGCUCCAAACCCGGCACCACCACCACCACCACCUAAAGCUCCGGAACCAGUCCACCCGAGGACAUGUUGUGCUGAAUGCUACCAUGGGAUUAGUGGAGGCCCAUGUUAUCAUGACUAUGGUGGGCCAGCACCCCCAAGUUAUGAAGCUUAUGGAAGGCCAGUGUAUGAUAAUUGGGGUGGCGGCGGCGGCGGCGGCGGCUGUGGUUGCCAAAGAAGCGGUUACUAUGUGUGCAGAUGCGAAUAUGUCUGUGAAGAUAAUCCCUCGUCAUGCUCAAUCAUGUGAAAGCGUCUAGAAUGUCGAUAUUGCCUUAAGCCGAUUUCCACCAAAAAUCACUGGAUUUGGACAGUAGUAUGGUGUCGAUAUGAUCAAAUCAAACAAUAGCAUUACUCAUGCUCAUGUCAUAACCUUGUCUAGCUAGUCAGUUUUGGCUGCAUAUUGGGUCUUCUUCCUUCGUUAUAGAGAUUUUAUGUGAUACAAUAAGGUUGGUGAUGUGGGAACAAUAUUUUAUUACAGGUUUACAAAUGUUAAGAUUUUUAAUAAAUUAACAAAAGGGAUUUUAAAGCUUCCAUAAUAAUCAUUGCUAUUUGUAUAUAUAGUGAUGGUGCAUCCCAGCAUCUCCUUUCCAUUCACUUUCCAUUUGCUUUCUUUAAUUUCUGACAGUAACUGAUCGAUGGCUUUUGUUUGCAAGCUUCGCUGUCAGAAAUUUAGGUGAUGCAUGAUCCAUCUAGAUAAUGGAAUGUGGACUGUCGUGAUUCCAUCAUUGUACUUGGCGAUAAGAAUUCUACCAUGAAUGAGCAGUUCCCUUCCCUCUCUUGAUUUGUUGAUAUGAGAUUUAUGUAAAGUUGCCGACUACGAAAUUUAUAUGAGUUGCUCUCUAAACACUAACAUUAUUGAAAAUAUAUUAAAAUAAAAUAUAUACUUUUUAUUUUUCAAAAUUCAUUCUUAUACCAAUAUAUCAAAACAAUCAAAAUAUAUAUAUAUAUAUAUAUAUAAGAUUUUUAAAAAAUACAGUUGAUCGUAAUUUCAAACGAUUAGUUAAACCUGCCUCCGCUUUCAAAGUUGGCACUCAUGGACGCAACUUCUGGGCCCACAAUUUGUUAUCUUUCUUCUUUAUGUCAACACAUAGGGAUGAGGGGAUAGCCAUCCCUAAUUUCUUAACGACUUGGGUUUCAUAUCAUUAUAAUUAUACAGAUUUUUGUCGUUUAGAUUACAUGAAGUAUUCCAUGGUGAUGAUAGGAAUUAGUAAUAAUUUAUUAAUUAUUUUAUAAGAUGUACUUUUUGAAAAAAUAUAAAUACAAGAGAGAGUAAUACAAAUAUCUCAACAUAUUAAUUAUUUUUUUCUUAUUAUCGUUAAAAUUAUGUGUUGUUAGUGUAGAACGGAGGAUAAAAAUAAGAAUAUAAAAUAAAUUGUUUUUGUAAUAAUUAAAAAAAAUUAUAUACUUUCAAAAUAAUAAAUAUAAUAAUUCAAGUUUUCUAUGUUUUAAUCACGAAACAACAAUCAAACACCGGCUAAAUUCUUUUAACAUGAGAUAUGGAAAUAUUAAUUGAAGAUUUUUAUUUUUUUAUGGGGAAUUUUUUGGGACACGUGUAAGGUUGUCAUGGGGUUUGCAUGGCUCGUUUAUGACAUGACUAUACUAAUGCACCGUAGGAUGCACUACAACCUUCGAAAUGAUUAACAAAAUUGAAGGUGAGACGUGUCCAUAAAAGCCAGCACAUGCACAUGCAGGAUUAGAGGGUCAGCAAUAAAAAAUAAAACGACAAUAUGACGUCAAGCUCAACACCCAACCCCACGUGUUCUCUUCUUAUUGGCCUCUAGAUGCACGGUAUUUAAAACAUGGUCUCACACUUCUACUACUUAAGUUGUGAUCAAUCUUAAUUUUACAAGCGUCUUUUUUGUGUCUCAAAUCUCCCUCUCACCCUCUGGUCGGUUCCUUCACUCUGCUCUCAAUUCUAUCAUCUCAUCAGGUCCAGAUCAAAGCUUAGACAAAACCAUGGCUGAAAAGGUAUGUGCAUGGAUGGAUGUGGAUAUUUUGAUAUAUUUUCCUUCUUCUCUUGGUUUAGAUUUAUCUUUUAUUAAUUAGCCCAUUCAUGUGGGUUUUUCUUCUUUUCAUGUGGUGAUCAUUGUCUUUGGCCCUAUGGAGUAUGGACCUCAUCUUCUUGUUCAUCAUCUUUACUGAUCAAUAUCCUUCCAUGUCAGAAAGUGUUCCGGUCCUUUCAAUAUUCU
RNAcentral lists this long non-coding RNA (3178 nucleotides) under Populus tremula. RNAcentral describes it as "long non-coding RNA (PTRE_LNC002614)". Lineage: Eukaryota; Viridiplantae; Streptophyta; Magnoliopsida; Malpighiales; Salicaceae. The record is from RNAcentral.